CUAUAUCACUUUGAAACAAUGAUUCUAGUACGAUCACCGAAGUUAAGCAACUUCGAGCCAAGUUAGUACCUCGAUGGGUAACCGCUUGGGAACAGUCGAUGC
Acanthosepion pharaonis is the source of this 102-nucleotide non-coding RNA. The record is from the annotation of a GenBank genome assembly. NCBI's taxonomy places the organism in Eukaryota, Metazoa, Mollusca, Cephalopoda, Sepiida, Sepiidae.